RNAcentral lists this unclassified non-coding RNA (232 nucleotides) under Funneliformis mosseae. RNAcentral's name for it is "partial contains 5.8S ribosomal RNA and internal transcribed spacer 2". The stretch from base 1 to 71 matches the Rfam family "5.8S ribosomal RNA", at positions 84 to 154 of the family's 154-position model. The record is from RNAcentral. Lineage: Eukaryota; Fungi; Glomeromycota; Glomeromycetes; Glomerales; Glomeraceae.
GUGAAUCAUCGAAUCUUUGAACGCAAAUUGCACUCCCUGGUAUUCCGGGGAGUAUGCCUGUUUGAGGGUCGUUAGAAUAAAAAAUCGAGGCGUCGCUCUUUUUUUUUAAGUGUGAUCUCGUCGGAAUUGAGCCGUCUUUCAAAUGUUAAUUCAUGUCAAAGUUGCUUGAAAUUCAUCCAUCCUGUACGAUUAAAGCGUAUUUAAGGUCAAUCUUGAUUAAGAACCUCCGCUG